Gossypium hirsutum (cotton) is the source of this 124-nucleotide non-coding RNA. NCBI's taxonomy places the organism in Eukaryota, Viridiplantae, Streptophyta, Magnoliopsida, Malvales, Malvaceae. The record is from Rfam.
AAUAAGAGAAUUACAAAUCAGGUUUUUUUCUCCUGAUUUUCAACCUUUUUCUCUUGAAAAAAUUUAAAUUCAACUAAAAAUGCUAAAAACCAGGAAGAAAUAUUUGAUUUGUCAUUCUCCUAUU